GAUGAACGCUAGCGACAGGCUUAACACAUGCAAGUCGAGGGGCAGCACAGGUAGCAAUACCGGGUGGCGACCGGCGCACGGGUGAGUAACGCGUAUGCAACUUACCUAUCAGAGGGGGAUAACCCGGCGAAAGUCGGACUAAUACCGCAUGAAGCAGGGGUCCCGCAUGGGGAUAUUUGCUAAAGAUUCAUCGCUGAUAGAUAGGCAUGCGUUCCAUUAGGCAGUUGGCGGGGUAACGGCCCACCAAACCGACGAUGGAUAGGGGUUCUGAGAGGAAGGUCCCCCACAUUGGUACUGAGACACGGACCAAACUCCUACGGGAGGCAGCAGUGAGGAAUAUUGGUCAAUGGGCGUAAGCCUGAACCAGCCAAGUCGCGUGAGGGAUGAAGGUUCUAUGGACCGUAAACCUCUUUUAUAAGGGAAUAAAGUGCGGGACGUGUCCCGUUUUGUAUGUACCUUAUGAAUAAGGAUCGGCUAACUCCGUGCCAGCAGCCGCGGUAAUACGGAGGAUCCGAGCGUUAUCCGGAUUUAUUGGGUUUAAAGGGUGCGUAGGCGGCCUUUUAAGUCAGCGGUGAAAGUCUGUGGCUCAACCAUAGAAUUGCCGUUGAAACUGGGAGGCUUGAGUAUGUUUGAGGCAGGCGGAAUGCGUGGUGUAGCGGUGAAAUGCUUAGAUAUCACGCAGAACCCCGAUUGCGAAGGCAGCCUGCCAAGCCAUGACUGACGCUGAUGCACGAAAGCGUGGGGAUCAAACAGGAUUAGAUACCCUGGUAGUCCACGCAGUAAACGAUGAUCACUAGCUGUUUGCGAUACACAGUAAGCGGCACAGCGAAAGCGUUAAGUGAUCCACCUGGGGAGUACGCCGGCAACGGUGAAACUCAAAGGAAUUGACGGGGGCCCGCACAAGCGGAGGAACAUGUGGUUUAAUUCGAUGAUACGCGAGGAACCUUACCCGGGUUUGAACGCAUUCGGACCGAGGUGGAAACACCUUUUCUAGCAAUAGCCGUUUGCGAGGUGCUGCAUGGUUGUCGUCAGCUCGUGCCGUGAGGUGUCGGCUUAAGUGCCAUAACGAGCGCAACCCUUGCCACUAGUUACUAACAGGUGAUGCUGAGGACUCUGGUGGGACUGCCAGCGUAAGCUGCGAGGAAGGCGGGGAUGACGUCAAAUCAGCACGGCCCUUACAUCCGGGGCGACACACGUGUUACAAUGGCGUGGACAAAGGGAAGCCACCUGGCGACAGGGAGCGAAUCCCCAAACCACGUCUCAGUUCGGAUCGGAGUCUGCAACCCGACUCCGUGAAGCUGGAUUCGCUAGUAAUCGCGCAUCAGCCAUGGCGCGGUGAAUACGUUCCCGGGCCU
RNAcentral lists this ribosomal RNA (1355 nucleotides) under uncultured bacterium. Its description in RNAcentral is "bacterial SSU rRNA". It matches the Rfam family "Bacterial small subunit ribosomal RNA", at positions 28 to 1381 of the family's 1533-position model. The record is from RNAcentral.